This 253-nucleotide ribosomal RNA is filed under the name uncultured bacterium. RNAcentral's name for it is "partial 16S ribosomal RNA". It matches the Rfam family "Bacterial small subunit ribosomal RNA", at positions 524 to 776 of the family's 1533-position model. The record is from RNAcentral.
GACAGAGGGUGCGAACGUUGCUCGGAAUUACUGGGCGUAAAGCGCGUGUAGGCGGGGGAUCAAGUCAGGUGUGAAAUCCCUGGGCUCAACCCAGGAACUGCACUUGAAACUGGUUGCCUUGAGUGUUGGAGAGGGAAGCGGAAUUCCUGGUGUAGAGGUGAAAUUCGUAGAUAUCAGGAGGAACACCGGUGGCGAAGGCGGCUUCCUGGACAAUUACUGACGCUGAGACGCGAAAGCGUGGGGAGCAAACAGG